RNAcentral lists this ribosomal RNA (484 nucleotides) under uncultured bacterium. RNAcentral describes it as "partial 16S ribosomal RNA". It matches the Rfam family "Bacterial small subunit ribosomal RNA", at positions 30 to 507 of the family's 1533-position model. The record is from RNAcentral.
AUUGAACGCUGGCGGCAUGCCUUACACAUGCAAGUCGAACGGUAACGGGUCCUUCGGGCUGCCGACGAGUGGCGAACGGGUGAGUAAUAUAUCGGAACGUGCCCAGUAGUUGGGGAUAACUGCUCGAAAGAGCAGCUAAUACCGCAUACGACCUGAGGGUGAAAGGGGGGGAUCGCAAGACCUCUCGCUAUUGGAGCGUCCGAUAUCAGAUUAGCUAGUUGGUGGGGUAAAGGCCUACCAAGGCAACGAUCUGUAGUUGGUCUGAGAGGACGACCAGCCACACUGGGACUGAGACACGGCCCAGACUCCUACGGGAGGCAGCAGUGGGGAAUUUUGGACAAUGGGCGCAAGCCUGAUCCAGCAAUGCCGCGUGCAGGAAGAAGGCCUUCGGGUUGUAAACUGCUUUUGUCAGGGAAGAAAUCCUCUGGGCUAAUACCCCGGGAGGAUGACGGUACCUGAAGAAUAAGCACCGGCUAACUACGUG